This 494-nucleotide ribosomal RNA is filed under the name uncultured bacterium. Its description in RNAcentral is "bacterial SSU rRNA". It matches the Rfam family "Bacterial small subunit ribosomal RNA", at positions 29 to 498 of the family's 1533-position model. The record is from RNAcentral.
AACGAACGUUGGCGGCGUGGAUUAGGCAUGCAAGUCGAACGAGAAAGCCACCUUCGGUGGUUAGUAAAGUGGCGAACGGGUGAGUAACGCGUGGGAAUCUGCCCUACAGUUGGGGAUAACACUCCUAACGGAGUGCUAAUACCGAAUGAGACCACGAGAUCGCAUGGUCUUGAGGUUGAAGGUGGCCUCUCCUUGGAAGCUACCGCUGCAGGAGGAUCCCGCGUCCCAUUAGCUUGUUGGCAGGGUAACGGCCUACCAAGGCUUCGAUGGGUAGCUGGUCUGAGAGGAUGGUCAGCCACACUGAGACUGAGAUACGGCCCAGACUCCUACGGGAGGCAGCAGUCGAGAGGCUUCGGCAAUGGGGGAAACCCUGACCGAGCGACGCCGCGUGGGCGAUGAAGGUUGUAAGAUCGUAAAGCCCUGUCAGGAGGGAAGAACUGCCAAUGGGCAAACAGGCCAUUGGUUUGACGGUACCUCCAGAGGAAGCUCCGGCU